RNAcentral lists this ribosomal RNA (658 nucleotides) under Streptomyces sp. Its description in RNAcentral is "bacterial SSU rRNA". It matches the Rfam family "Bacterial small subunit ribosomal RNA", at positions 349 to 1016 of the family's 1533-position model. Lineage: Bacteria; Bacillati; Actinomycetota; Actinomycetes; Kitasatosporales; Streptomycetaceae. The record is from RNAcentral.
CAGCAGUGGGGAAUAUUGCACAAUGGGCGAAAGCCUGAUGCAGCGACGCCGCGUGAGGGAUGACGGCCUUCGGGUUGUAAACCUCUUUCAGCAGGGAAGAAGCGAAAGUGACGGUACCUGCAGAAGAAGCGCCGGCUAACUACGUGCCAGCAGCCGCGGUAAUACGUAGGGCGCAAGCGUUGUCCGGAAUUAUUGGGCGUAAAGAGCUCGUAGGCGGCUUGUCACGUCGAUUGUGAAAGCCCGAGGCUUAACCUCGGGUCUGCAGUCGAUACGGGCUAGCUAGAGUGUGGUAGGGGAGAUCGGAAUUCCUGGUGUAGCGGUGAAAUGCGCAGAUAUCAGGAGGAACACCGGUGGCGAAGGCGGAUCUCUGGGCCAUUACUGACGCUGAGGAGCGAAAGCGUGGGGAGCGAACAGGAUUAGAUACCCUGGUAGUCCACGCCGUAAACGGUGGGAACUAGGUGUUGGCGACAUUCCACGUCGUCGGUGCCGCAGCUAACGCAUUAAGUUCCCCGCCUGGGGAGUACGGCCGCAAGGCUAAAACUCAAAGGAAUUGACGGGGGCCCGCACAAGCGGCGGAGCAUGUGGCUUAAUUCGACGCAACGCGAAGAACCUUACCAAGGCUUGACAUACACCGGAAACGUCUGGAGACAGGCGCCCC